Rosa chinensis is the source of this 604-nucleotide long non-coding RNA. RefSeq lists it as uncharacterized. Lineage: Eukaryota; Viridiplantae; Streptophyta; Magnoliopsida; Rosales; Rosaceae. The record is from RefSeq and is a predicted model, not a curated record. The transcript is spliced from 3 exons.
AAUAUAGAUUUUCUUGUCAUGCUUGGUUUGAAUUCAGUACGCAAAUCCUCUUUGUACAUAAUUGGUGGGUUAGUUUACUAGGGUGAAAUUGUAGGUUAUCAAUUGGUAUGAGGUGAAGCUUGUGUUUAUGGCAAGAUACAUGUAUCAGAAAUAUAUGAGGGAGAAAAUUCUGAGGUACAGAAGAGGCAAAGUCCAUCAUGAUUCAUCUAACAAGUCCCCAAAUUGGCAAAGGGGGAACAGGAGGCUUACUAAAGAAACAGUGUUUAACUUUGAUUAGCUAUAGCAUGAACUGCUUGUCAUUGCUAAAAGUAUCUUUCCUGCAUGCUACUCUUGGAUAGUUGGAACCAUUACUUUUGCGGUAACAUACAAAAAAGCUUUUCUUCAUUAUGCUGUUUUUAUAAUCUUUUGGUAAUUCUUUGUUGCUAAUUUCUAUUAUUUCUUUCAUUUUCCUGUGCAUUUUUGUGCAGUUAGUCCUCAAAGCAUUUGGAUGGAAAUUAUUCUGGUGUUGAUUUAAUUGUUCUAGCUGCUAACUUUGCCGGCUGCAGUACUUUUACUAACAGAGUACUGUGAGAGUGUCUCAAGUGAGACUGAGAAUGUUGGUCUU